RNAcentral lists this ribosomal RNA (160 nucleotides) under bacterium 050602. RNAcentral describes it as "partial 16S rRNA". It matches the Rfam family "Bacterial small subunit ribosomal RNA", at positions 355 to 507 of the family's 1533-position model. The record is from RNAcentral. RNAcentral also lists the same sequence under 4 other names.
UGGGGAAUUUUGGACAAUGGGCGAAAGCCUGAUCCAGCAAUGCCGCGUGUGUGAAGAAGGCCUUCGGGUUGUAAAGCACUUUUGUCCGGAAAGAAAUGGCUCUGGUUAAUACCUGGGGUCGAUGACGGUACCGGAAGAAUAAGGACCGGCUAACUACGUG